UUGGAUAACCGUGGUAAUUCUAGAGCUAAUACAUGCUAAAAACCCCAACUUCGGAAGGGGUGUAUUUAUUAGAUAAAAAACCAACGCCCUUCGGGGCUUCUUGGUGAUUCAUGAUAACUUCACGGAUCGCAUGGCCUUGCGCCGGCGACGGUUCAUUCAAAUUUCUGCCCUAUCAACUUUCGAUGGUAAGGUAUUGGCUUACCAUGGUUUCAACGGGUAACGGGGAAUUAGGGUUCGAUUCCGGAGAGGGAGCCUGAGAAACGGCUACCACAUCCAAGGAAGGCAGCAGGCGCGCAAAUUACCCAAUCCCGACACGGGGAGGUAGUGACAAUAAAUACUGAUACAGGGCUCUUUUGGGUCUUGUAAUUGGAAUGAGUACAAUUUAAACCUCUUAACGAGGAACAAUUGGAGGGCAAGUCUGGUGCCAGCAGCCGCGGUAAUUCCAGCUCCAAUAGCGUAUAUUAAAGUUGUUGCAGUUAAAAAGCUCGUAGUUGAAACUUGGGUCUGGCUGGCAGGUCCGCCUCACCGCGUGUACUUGUCCGGCCGGGCCUUUCCUUCUGGAGAACCUCAUGCCCUUCACUGGGCGUGUUGGGGAACCAGGACUUUUACUUUGAAAAAAUUAGAGUGUUCAAAGCAGGCCUUUGCUCGAAUACGUUAGCAUGGAAUAAUAGAAUAGGACGUGCGGUCCUAUUUUGUUGGUUUCUAGGACCGCCGUAAUGAUUAAUAGGGACAGUCGGGGGCAUCAGUAUUCAAUUGUCAGAGGUGAAAUUCUUGGAUUUAUUGAAGACUAACUACUGCGAAAGCAUUUGCCAAGGAUGUUUUCAUUAAUCAGUGAACGAAAGUUAGGGGAUCGAAGACGAUCAGAUACCGUCGUAGUCUUAACCGUAAACUAUGCCGACUAGG
This 903-nucleotide ribosomal RNA is filed under the name Thyrostroma ulmicola. RNAcentral describes it as "SSU rRNA". It matches the Rfam family "Eukaryotic small subunit ribosomal RNA", at positions 139 to 1050 of the family's 1831-position model. Lineage: Eukaryota; Fungi; Ascomycota; Dothideomycetes. The record is from RNAcentral.